RNAcentral lists this ribosomal RNA (373 nucleotides) under uncultured eukaryote. RNAcentral's name for it is "partial 18S ribosomal RNA". It matches the Rfam family "Eukaryotic small subunit ribosomal RNA", at positions 592 to 975 of the family's 1831-position model. The record is from RNAcentral.
UAAUAGUGUAUAUUAAAGUUGUUGCAGUUAAAAAGCUCGUAGUUGAAUGUUGGUGUCGAACGAGCGGUCAGCUUCGGCUGUACUGCUCUCUCGACUCCUUCCUUCUGUGGACUACGUCGCACUUUACUGUGUGGCGCUAGGACGCAGAUCGUUUACUGUGAAAAAAUUAGAGUGUUCAAAGCAGGCCGUACGCUUGAAUACAUUAGCAUGGAAUAAUGGAAUAGGACGUCGGGCCUAUUUUGUUGGUUCUAGGACCGUCGUAAUGAUUAAUAGGGACAGUUGGGGCCGUUUAUAUUCCGUAGUCAGAGGUGAAAUUCUUGGAUUUAUGAAAGAUGAACAACUGCGAAAGCAUUUACCAAGGGUGUUUNCAUUA